UCAGACCAAAUUCACAAGUUUACAGCCGUUACUUUUUAGUCAUUCCUGUUGAUAUAUCCUAAAUAUUCACCCAUUAUUCAUUAGUUUAUUAUUAUAAAUUCUGUAUCAUAUGGUUAGAAAAUGAUUUGCUAACAAAUGGAUUUAAUAGUUUUUUAAAAUGAAAAACUUAGAAUGGUUUUUAUUCAUUCUUUGACAGUUUCAUAUAUGUAUACAAUGUAUCUUGAUCAUAUCUAUCUCCAACACCCACCCUUACUCCCACUGGGUGUCUCCCAACAUGUCCUCUCCUACCUUCACGUCCUUUGCUUUUUCUCUUACAGCCCCGAGUUCCAGCGCAGCAUAUUGAAAUGUUACCUGAUGGCUUGAUCUGAAGGUAGCCAUAGCUGAAGUGAGUAGACCUAGAAAGGAGGAGGAGGAAGAGAAGGAGGAAAGAAGGAGAAGACCAGGGUGGGUGGCUACUUCUCUGCCUCACCCUGUGAGUGACAGCUCCUCCAUUAGAAUCUUAGAUGGAGAGCAGUUUUCAAUUCCUAGUCUCAUUCUUCUGGUAAUGGAGGAAAAGAUUCUCUCUGGUAGAAGUAAUCAUCUUUGGAGAAAUAUUUGCAUAAACUAUGGGAAGUACAUGGAGGAGCUCAGAGUAACUGAUCAGGCUGCCAUCUUCUCUGGAGAGCAGGUAGAAGCAUCUGGGACUACAGGAGUCCAGCUCCUUGUCUUCAGGGUGAGCAAACAAGCAGCUUCCAACAGAUGUCUGAUACACCAACUCAACUCAUCAGGACACACAGGCUUGGCAUCUUGUUCAACAUCUGGAUGAUACCCAUUUUCUGAACAUCGAUGGAACAUGGCCAUGCACAUGUGUGAGCUUGGCACUCAGAUGGUGGACACUUAGGACUCUGAAAAUGGACUUGUGGCUCUAGGGUUCACAGGAGCUGUUUUAUCACAAUGCCCAUAAAGAAGCAGGAAGAAUGUACCAUAUUGGAAGCAGAGGGAAAGUGUUCAUCAUGCACUGAAUCUGCUCUCCCUUGUUGCUGGACUUCUAUAUAAAUCAUGUUGUUUAUCAAUUACUCAGUCCAGAGAAUUUUAUUACUAACUGUCUGAAGAGGCUAAGGCAGGUCAGCAGUCAAAGAAGAAAGCUAUAUGUAAUGAUUUGGAUGAUUCUUCAGAAAUAUUUAUUGCUCUCCUCCUGUGGAUGGGUGUUUUGCUAUGUCAUCUAGACUGGGUUCAAACUUACCAUCCUCCUACCUCAUGAUCUGAGUGCUGCCAUUACAGUGGGUUGUCCUGAGAAGCUCACAGCAUCCACAGCUCAGGAGGGUACAACAGUUUCCAUAUUACUGUGAAGGUUUUGGAUCAACUUCCCUCAUUCCAGGAUGCUGCUACUUGACUCCAAGCAUCAUCAUGGUCACAACCAUCACCACCAUCCUUGGUCUUCAAUCCUGGCAAAGAGAUCAAUCAAGGCAGAGAAAGGUAAGCUAAUUUGCUUUUGAAGGGCUUGGACUUGGGCAUGGUCUGGCUUUAGGGCUUAUACCUGAGUAUAAACCAUUACCUAAAACACAAGAAGAAUCAGGAACCAUUUCAGCCAACCUACUUAAUGAUCUUGCUCACUCAAGUACCACAGGGAAAUGACCCUCCUAAAAUGAUAGUGUGUUAGUGGCAGCUCAAUUUUAGCUUGAGGUUGUCUCUUGUGUAGAUUCAUCAUGCUCCUGAAAUUCAGGAGAAGGCUGAAUGCUGAUUGAAGUAGCUGUUGGAUGGCUUCCUAUUUGAGGGCACAGGUCUGGUCUGGGAUUCAAAGAUGAAAACAUUUGGCCUUUGAAUAUGCAUGGUCCUCGGAUGGCCCACAGUUUGCUGGAGAAAACAAAUUAGCAGAAAUACUUCAGAUAACUCCCUCUGAAGGAGGCAUGGCAAAGGACAAGGAGAAGCCCAUGUCUUCCCAGGGGAGGAUGAAUUCAAUCCAGGCCUGAUCCUGUCCAUGAUGAUGGGAAUGGCAUUCCAAAGGAACGUUUGCAUAAUUCCUCUACAAAUCCUAUUUAUCUUUCGAAAUGGCGAGGAGAAGAAACUGCGUUGGGUUUCAUAGACCUGGGAGACAGUGCAAAGUCUCUGCAUACUUUCGGGACAUUGGCUUUGGAAUCUGGGAUGACUUUAAGAGAGAAACUGUUUUCGCUUCACUCUUUUUCAACAUUGCUAGUAGGUUUUAGGAGAGUGGAAAUAAGGCUCUGAAAACUUGAGCUUCCUAAAAGCUGAGCAAAUAAAGCAUUCAUUAAUUGGUCUCUCCCCAAUGCCAACCAAGCACUCUGAAGAUGAAGCCUAAGAAGAAACACGAGACGAAGUAAAUCCAAGCUUUGAGAAGCCUCAUGCUGAGAGAACGAAAGGACACAUGAAGGCGAGAGCUUAUCACCCAGCAGGUCACUGGGUUUCUGAUGAGACAGAAGAGUCCCCAUAUUCAGUCCUUGGAGGAUAGCUGAGAUCCAGGAGGCAAAGAGGCAGAGAAAGCAAGGCUCCAGAGAAAAAUCAAGAUGGGGACUCGAUCACGAUCACUUCCAUCCACAGUCAAACUACAAUGUUUUCUCUGAUUCGAACAAACCCCACAGAAAAGUUACAAAACCAGAUGUAGGAGCCACUUAAAGGAAGAAAAUAUGACUCAUGGUUGGAUGUGUACGAUGCAUGAAAUGAUAAUAGAGCUGCAGAAUACCUCCAAUUAGUAAGCAUCAAGAGAUGCAAA
Non-coding RNA from Peromyscus maniculatus bairdii (prairie deer mouse), 2707 nucleotides. The record is from RefSeq and is a predicted model, not a curated record. Lineage: Eukaryota; Metazoa; Chordata; Mammalia; Rodentia; Cricetidae.